UACGGAGGGUGCGAGCGUUGUCCGGAAUCAUUGGGCGUAAAGAGCGUGUAGGCGGCUCGGUAAGUCCGCUGUGAAAGUCCAGGGCUCAACCCUGGAAUGCCGGUGGAAACUGUCGAGCUAGAAUCCGGAAGAGGCGAGUGGAAUUCCUGGUGUAGCGGUGAAAUGCGCAGAUAUCAAGGAGGAACACCAAUGGCGAAGGCAGCUCGCUGGGACGGUAUUGACGCUGAGACGCGAAAGCGUGGGGAGCAAACAGG
This 254-nucleotide ribosomal RNA is filed under the name uncultured bacterium. RNAcentral's name for it is "partial 16S ribosomal RNA". It matches the Rfam family "Bacterial small subunit ribosomal RNA", at positions 524 to 776 of the family's 1533-position model. The record is from RNAcentral.